ACCAGCGGACGGGGCGGGGCGUCGCCCGCGUAUCCAGACUGGCAAUUGGUGUCCAACAGAGGCGCUUAUCAGCACUACCAAGUCUGAAUAGAAACUGUGCAUGCGCGUUGCGUAUUUUGGUGGAACCCACAGGUGAGGGAAAGGUGAGGGUCCCCGUGAGCACGAUUCCAUCUCGGCCCUCACCGCGUGGAGCCUCGUGUUCAUAUCGGACAUCACUCUCGCCUACUCUGCAGCGGGAUCUUGAAGGUCGUGAGGCGGUGGCCGAACAUCUGGUUGAGGAGAUCCCGCUGCGACUGGGCCGACUUGCAGCUGGCGGGCAGCGCUGGCCGUGGCCUCGCGGUGUGAGGGCCUCCCGUGCGACUCCCGCCACAGAGGGAAUCAAGCAGCGGCCUCCUGUGGGGCCCCGGCACCUCGCGCGAGGAGUGGCUCGAGAAGAAGGCCGUGUAGAGGGUGCCGACGCUGGACCUGGAGUCUUCAAGGUCGCUGCUUGCGCCAGCAGACGAGCUCGUACCGUUGACAUUUCCAGCGGACGUUCCACUAAAAGUUCCACUGACGUUUCCGCCACUCGCACCAUUGAGCUUUCUGCCGGACACUCCAUCACCACUUCCAAAACUAGCACCGUAAAUUUUUCCACUGAUAUUUCCACCACCGGUUCCACCAGCAUUUCCACCUCCAGCAAUGUUAACUUUUUCACUAGAAACUCCACCACCAACAUUUCCCCCACCAGUUCCACCAAUCCCGCCACCAGUACCACCAUUUCCACUGCCACUCACGGUGACGUUUCCAACGCCAGUACCUCUGCUGCCAGUUCCACCACCGACUCCACCGACAUAUCCUCCCCCACCACCGCAGGUUCUGCUUGGAUACGACCUCCACAUUGCAGUAGACAAGUGCCAACUGCGACGCAUAUUAAGGAGGAUGAUGGUUCUUGCCUUCUGCCUGGACUGGGUGGAGGACUGAAAGCAUUGGAUAUACUGCAGACCAUGUCGCUGUGGUGUGGCCUGACCCAGGUGAGGAUCAGUGACGGAGUGGUUAGCGCGCCACGUCACGAACACAGAGACCUGAGUUGGAUUCUCAAUCACGGUUAACACCAGCCGCGAACGAUCUGCGAACCGAGGCCACGGGGAAUUCGACUCCACGAAGCACCGCGCGGCUCCUGGGCGGCACCAGCAGCAGCAGCAGCGAGCGGCAGCAGAGAAGCCGGAUGAAGCAAAACGCUUCCGAGAUCUUCCCGGAGCCUGCUCGGGGCCUUCUGGAGCCACGGUAUCCAAAUCCAGCCAGGACUUCUCUUCCCAACAAAAACACAACGCGUUUCACAUGGCGAAGUAUUUGAGGUUCUGGCAGCUUCUCCGCCCAAGAGAGAACUACCCAGGGCUACAGCAGCAGCAACAUCGUCAUCAUCUCCACGAUCAUUAUCACGACCACCAUCAUCAUAAGCGCAGCAAAGCUUCUGGACAUGAGUGCAUGAGGCAGGCACUGAUCAAGAGAUCCCUGAGACUUCCUGGUGCUCGGUUAUUGUGCUUCACGUGGACUGAGUGUGAAACCUCACCUGGGGAAUCUCACCUGGGGGACCCUACCUGCUUACCCCACAUCACUGAUAGUGUGCCCCCCAUCACCCCCUCACCACCACCAAACACUGAUCCUGGGAUGGAUAACAUCUGGGCAUCUGUGAAAUACUGAACAUAUGUGAAAAAGAGCUUUAUAGCUCAUCGGACUUCUCCAGUAUAAAUAAAUAUUCUGAUUCUAAGA
This is a non-coding RNA of Petromyzon marinus (sea lamprey), 1749 nucleotides long. Lineage: Eukaryota; Metazoa; Chordata; Hyperoartia; Petromyzontiformes; Petromyzontidae. The record is from RefSeq and is a predicted model, not a curated record.